Molecule: long non-coding RNA, 1233 nt
Filed under: Bos taurus (domestic cattle)
Lineage: Eukaryota; Metazoa; Chordata; Mammalia; Artiodactyla; Bovidae
Description: long non-coding RNA NONBTAT006832
Source: RNAcentral
GGAACAGGAAGGGGCUCUGCCUGUUCAAACCUCACUUGUCCCAGGCAAGAUCCACCUUGAAAUCUGCCUCUUCAGAAAAGUUUUCUCUGCUCUUCUCAGUUGUCUAGAUGGAACAGUGGACUAUCCAGCCACCGCCAAGGGCUCCCCAGUCCGGAGCAGUUUGUGGCAUGUGGUAGCAAUGGGCCCUGGAUUAGAUGAAACUUACAUGGUCACCCUAUGAUAACAGGCAGCCAGAGCAGCAGAGGAAAACCAGGAGGAGCCAAUAUCAUGACGGACAUUGGAUUUCAUGACAUGAGGUCCCUGGAGACUUCAGCAGCAGAUGUUUGAGUUGUGAGCAUGCAACCCGGGUUUCAGAGGGUGAGAGAGGCGCCGGAAUCAUCCAGCCGUCCUCCUCGUCAAAGUUAUGGGCAAUUUGACCUGCCAUUUAGCUGUUUCCUGGAGCCGGUUGAAUGGUUCUUAGGGCCGUUUCUACCUUGAAGACAACACAGGGCUCCAGGAUAAGAAACAUCAGAAGCCUCAACAGGAGACUGCAAAUUCUUGGCUAUUUAAUUGGAGCCUUUUGCUGCUCUUGAAACCAGCUGGAGAGAAGGAGCAAGCGAAGAGCUUGAAGAGCUGGUCUUUGAGUCAGAGCUAAGUAUAGCAUAGCCAAGUGCUUCAUCUCCCCACUCACCAUAUCGCUGUGGAUUUUGAAGGAGGUUGGCUCCAGGGAGAAAAUAUUUAAGGCUGGAGAAAUAGUUUUCUUCAGUUUGUCUUCUGUGGAUGCAAAGCACAAAUGUUACGCUGGUUCUUACUGAUUAACGUGCUAACAAGUUAAACAGUUUUUCAGUGUCCAGCCUCGCCUCUUCUCAUGGCCGCUGUGCACACGCUGGGGGGCCACUGUGGGGAGGCCAUGCCCGAGGCAACCAAGCUCCCAUCCUGGCCCCUGGUUCCCAGGAUGCACUUCUUUCUCUGGGUAUCAUUGGUAUCUUCUUCAGGCUGUCUCUGUAUCCUGUCUUUCCUCAUCCACGUCUGUCUUUCUUUGAACUCACCAUGGGUCGUUCCCUCUUGGUGUGUUUUCACUUGAGAUCCCACACUGAACACCUAGACCCAGAGCUCAAGGAGUUUGUAAUCUGGACUUUCCAGAUUGUUCAGUGUCUGCCAGUGGCUGGUGAAGCUUGUGGCUGUCAGAUCUGCAUUGGUUGCUGUCACCCCGAGGAUUUGAGAAGGAAAGGGAAGCAGUGCUUUUGGUGACCU